CCUACGGGAGGCAGCAGUGGGGAAUAUUGCACAAUGGGCGCAAGCCUGAUGCAGCCAUGCCGCGUGUGUGAAGAAGGCCUUCGGGUUGUAAAGCACUUUCAGCGGGGAGGAAGGCGUUAAGGUUAAUAACCUUGUCGAUUGACGUUACCCGCAGAAGAAGCACCGGCUAACUCCGUGCCAGCAGCCGCGGUAAUACGGAGGGUGCAAGCGUUAAUCGGAAUUACUGGGCGUAAAGCGCACGCAGGCGGUCUGUCAAGUCGGAUGUGAAAUCCCCGGGCUCAACCUGGGAACUGCAUUCGAAACUGGCAGGCUAGAGUCUUGUAGAGGGGGGUAGAAUUCCAGGUGUAGCGGUGAAAUGCGUAGAGAUCUGGAGGAAUACCGGUGGCGAAGGUGGCCCCCUGGACAAAGACUGACGCUCAGGUGCGAAAGCGCGGGGAGCAAACAGGAUUAGAUACCCUUGUAGUC
Molecule: ribosomal RNA, 465 nt
Filed under: uncultured Klebsiella sp.
Lineage: Bacteria; Pseudomonadati; Pseudomonadota; Gammaproteobacteria; Enterobacterales; Enterobacteriaceae
Description: bacterial SSU rRNA
Rfam family: Bacterial small subunit ribosomal RNA
Source: RNAcentral